UUCUUCUCUCUUUUAUGCUGUUAGGUAGGUGUGUGUGUGUGUGUGUGUGUGUGUGUGUGUGUGUGUGUGUGUGUGUGUGUGUGUGUGUGUGUGGAUUCUCCAGAAGGCCCCUCAUGAUGACAUGUCUGCCCCACGACACUUUGUUUAGGUUCGUCUUGACCCUGGCAGAGAUUACAUGUUCCAACAGACAGAUAGUUUGGGCUCCUGCAAGACAGCCUUGCUUACAAUCUCAUGGUCGUGGGGCAGCAGGAGCAGGCCAACCUAGACUAUUUGUAGCUUCUUACUAAAAGAUAAUUACUCUAUAUUUCUUAACCUAAAUGUAUGAAGACAUUCCCCUACA
This is a non-coding RNA of Xyrichtys novacula (pearly razorfish), 340 nucleotides long. NCBI's taxonomy places the organism in Eukaryota, Metazoa, Chordata, Actinopteri, Labriformes, Labridae. The record is from the annotation of a GenBank genome assembly.